AUUAAUUAGCAAAAGAAAAAAAAAAUUUUUUUUACCCUUUUGGAUACAUCAGUUGGUUCAUUUUUGCGCAUGCAAGCAAUUAAUCAAGCAAAUGGUAAUUUGAGAAAUUGAAGCCAAUCAAAGGUAGCUUAAUUGAUCUUCCUUUACUUUGAAAGAUCUAGAGUUCAAAUUUCUCCAUUUACCUAAGAUCACUAUAUGGUGG
RNAcentral lists this unclassified non-coding RNA (202 nucleotides) under Hevea brasiliensis (rubber tree). The record is from RNAcentral. Lineage: Eukaryota; Viridiplantae; Streptophyta; Magnoliopsida; Malpighiales; Euphorbiaceae.